RNAcentral lists this ribosomal RNA (756 nucleotides) under uncultured Bacilli bacterium. RNAcentral's name for it is "bacterial SSU rRNA". It matches the Rfam family "Bacterial small subunit ribosomal RNA", at positions 28 to 742 of the family's 1533-position model. The record is from RNAcentral. Lineage: Bacteria; Bacillati; Bacillota; Bacilli.
GAUGAACGCCGGCGGUGUGCCUAAUACAUGCAAGUCGAACGCGUUGGCCCAAUUGAUUGACGGUGCUUGCACCUGAUUGAUUUUGGUCGCCAACGAGUGGCGGACGGGUGAGUAACACGUAGGUAACCUGCCCAGAAGCGGGGGACAACAUUUGGAAACAGAUGCUAAUACCGCAUAACAACGUUGUUCGCAUGAACAACGCUUAAAAGAUGGCUUCUCGCUAUCACUUCUGGAUGGACCUGCGGUGCAUUAGCUUGUUGGUGGGGUAACGGCCUACCAAGGCGAUGAUGCAUAGCCGAGUUGAGAGACUGAUCGGCCACAAUGGGACUGAGACACGGCCCAUACUCCUACGGGAGGCAGCAGUAGGGAAUCUUCCACAAUGGGCGCAAGCCUGAUGGAGCAACACCGCGUGAGUGAAGAAGGGUUUCGGCUCGUAAAGCUCUGUUGUUAAAGAAGAACACGUAUGAGAGUAACUGUUCAUACGUUGACGGUAUUUAACCAGAAAGUCACGGCUAACUACGUGCCAGCAGCCGCGGUAAUACGUAGGUGGCAAGCGUUAUCCGGAUUUAUUGGGCGUAAAGAGAGUGCAGGCGGUUUUCUAAGUCUGAUGUGAAAGCCUUCGGCUUAACCGGAGAAGUGCAUCGGAAACUGGAUAACUUGAGUGCAGAAGAGGGUAGUGGACUCCAUGUGUAGCGGUGGAUGCGUAGAUAUAUGGAAGAACACCAGUGGCGAAGGCGGCUACCUGGUCUGCAACUG